Molecule: transfer RNA, 71 nt
Filed under: Pangasianodon gigas (Mekong giant catfish)
Lineage: Eukaryota; Metazoa; Chordata; Actinopteri; Siluriformes; Pangasiidae
Description: tRNA-Glu
Rfam family: tRNA
About the family: Transfer RNA (tRNA) molecules are approximately 80 nucleotides in length.
Source: RNAcentral
UCCCUGGAGGAAUAAUGGUUAGGCCCAGCGCUCUCACCGCUGUGGCCCAGGUUCAAUUCCCGGCCAGGGAA